This is a small nucleolar RNA of 132 nucleotides. Its record names the gene SNORA70. It matches the Rfam family "Small nucleolar RNA SNORA70". From Rfam's summary of the family: snoRNA U70 seems to be exclusive to mammals and is a member of the H/ACA class of snoRNA which contain H (ANANNA) and ACA box motifs. H/ACA box snoRNAs are involved in the conversion of uridines to pseudouridines (5-ribosyluracil) a constituent of structural RNAs (transfer, ribosomal, small nuclear, and small nucleolar). The record is from Ensembl.
CUACAACAAAAUUUAAUUAAGAAUCACUUUUUCCAUGGAGGCCCAGGGUGCAAUGGCUGCAAACAGUAGCCUCAUCAGUAGUAUAUACAUCCUGUUGCCUAAGGGUUGCCCUAAGGGACCUUGGAAACAGCC